GCUAGGUGUAGAGGUGCAUGCCUGUAAUCCUAGCAACCUGGGAGGUUGAGGCAGGAGGACUGCAAGUUUGAGGCCUACCUGGGUUAAUUUAGUGAGAUUCUGCCUCAA
RNAcentral lists this small RNA (108 nucleotides) under Marmota monax (woodchuck). Lineage: Eukaryota; Metazoa; Chordata; Mammalia; Rodentia; Sciuridae. The record is from RNAcentral.